RNAcentral lists this non-coding RNA (45 nucleotides) under Schistosoma haematobium. Lineage: Eukaryota; Metazoa; Platyhelminthes; Trematoda; Strigeidida; Schistosomatidae. The record is from RNAcentral.
GUCCAGCUGACGAGUUCCAAAUAGGACGAAACGCAAGUUCUGGGU